Molecule: long non-coding RNA, 1020 nt
Organism: Callithrix jacchus (white-tufted-ear marmoset)
Lineage: Eukaryota; Metazoa; Chordata; Mammalia; Primates; Cebidae
Source: Ensembl
ACCAAAUUAACUUGACCAUUUUCCUUCUUUUCAUAGUGAAGUGAUUUGGCUGCAUCUCCAAUUGUGGUAUUUUCCAUUUGUCAAAGUCAAAGCUAUCCCUUUUGUUGAUUAAUUCUGGAGAAAGUUGAAGUCUUUGUACUCCUGUGAUUGACGUGGUGCCUGACUCUGCCAGAUUUUGCCUUGGAUAUGCUGCAAUAGAAGGUUGUGGCAAUCCUGAGUCAAGCAAGUCUAUUGGUGCCAUUUUUCUAACAGCAUGUGUUCACUUCAGGUCUCUGUGUCACAUUUUGGUAAUUCUUACAGUAUUUCAAACUUUUUCAUUAUUAUUAUAUCUGUUAUGGUAAUGUGUGAACAGUGAUCUGCUGUUACUAUUGUAAUUGUUUUGGGAUGCCACAAACUGCACCCAAAUAAAUGGCAAACUUAAUUGAUUAAUGUUGUGUGUGUUUUGGCUGCUCCACUGACCAGCUGUUUUCCCAUCUUUCUCCCUAUCCGUGGGUCUCCCUAUUCCCAAGACACAAUAAUAUUAAAAUUAGGCCAAUUAGGCUGGGCACAGUGGCUCAUGCCUGUAAUCGCAGCACCUUAGGGGACUGAGGCAGGUGGAUCACUUGAGGUCAGGAGUUCAAAACCAGCCUAGCCAACAUGGUGAAAUAAAAAUACAAAAAUUAGCUGGGUGUGGUGGCACAUGCCUGUAAUCCCAGCUACUCAGGAGGCUGAGGCAGGGGAACUGCUUAAACCUGGGAAGUGGAGGUUGCAGUAGUGAGCCAAGAUCACACCACUGCACUCCAGCCUGGGCAAAAGAGUGAGACACCAUCUCAAAAAAAAAAGCCAGUUGAUAAGCCUCUAAAUGUUCAAGUGAAAGGAAGAGUCGCACAUCUCUCACUUUAAAUCAAAAGCUAGAAAGGAUUAAACUUAGUGAGGAAGGCACUUAAAAAGCCAAGACAGGCCAAAAGCUAGGCCUCUUGCACCAAACAGAUAGCCAAACUGUGAAUGAACAGGAAAAGGUCUUGAAGGAAAUUAAAAAUU